Molecule: ribosomal RNA, 568 nt
Filed under: Priestia megaterium
Lineage: Bacteria; Bacillati; Bacillota; Bacilli; Caryophanales; Bacillaceae
Description: bacterial SSU rRNA
Rfam family: Bacterial small subunit ribosomal RNA
Source: RNAcentral
GUAACACGUGGGCAACCUGCCUGUAAGACUGGGAUAACUUCGGGAAACCGAAGCUAAUACCGGAUAGGAUCUUCUCCUUCAUGGGAGAUGAUUGAAAGAUGGUUUCGGCUAUCACUUACAGAUGGGCCCGCGGUGCAUUAGCUAGUUGGUGAGGUAACGGCUCACCAAGGCAACGAUGCAUAGCCGACCUGAGAGGGUGAUCGGCCACACUGGGACUGAGACACGGCCCAGACUCCUACGGGAGGCAGCAGUAGGGAAUCUUCCGCAAUGGACGAAAGUCUGACGGAGCAACGCCGCGUGAGUGAUGAAGGCUUUCGGGUCGUAAAACUCUGUUGUUAGGGAAGAACAAGUACGAGAGUAACUGCUCGUACCUUGACGGUACCUAACCAGAAAGCCACGGCUAACUACGUGCCAGCAGCCGCGGUAAUACGUAGGUGGCAAGCGUUAUCCGGAAUUAUUGGGCGUAAAGCGCGCGCAGGCGGUUUCUUAAGUCUGAUGUGAAAGCCCACGGCUCAACCGUGGAGGGUCAUUGGAAACUGGGGAACUUGAGUGCAGAAGAGAAAAGCGG